GUGCCAGCCGCCGCGGUAAUAGCAGCACCCCGAGUGGUAGUCGUUAUUAUUGGGCCUAAAGCGUCCGUAGCUGGCUGCGCAAGUCCGUCGGGAAAUCCACUCGCCCAACGAGUGGGCGUCCGACGGAAACUGCACAGCUUGGGACCGGAAGGCUCGAAGGGUACGUUCGGGGUAGGAGUGAAAUCCCAUAAUCCCGCACGGACCACCGAUGGCGAAAGCACUUCGAGAAAACGGAUCCGACAGUGAGGGACGAAAGCCAGGGUCUCCAACCGGAUUAGAAACCCCAGUAGUCC
This 293-nucleotide ribosomal RNA is filed under the name uncultured bacterium. Its description in RNAcentral is "partial 16S ribosomal RNA". It matches the Rfam family "Archaeal small subunit ribosomal RNA", at positions 455 to 747 of the family's 1478-position model. The record is from RNAcentral.